Molecule: ribosomal RNA, 2472 nt
Filed under: Streptomyces hygroscopicus subsp. hygroscopicus
Lineage: Bacteria; Bacillati; Actinomycetota; Actinomycetes; Kitasatosporales; Streptomycetaceae
Description: bacterial LSU rRNA
Rfam family: Bacterial large subunit ribosomal RNA
Source: RNAcentral
UCGUGACUGCGUGCCUUUUGAAGAAUGAGCCUGCGAGUUUGCGGUGUGUUGCGAGGUUAACCCGUGUGGGGAAGCCGUAGCGAAAGCGAGUCCGAAUAGGGCGGUAGAGUAGCGCGCUCAAGACCCGAAGCGGAGUGAUCUAGCCAUGGGCAGGUUGAAGCGGAGGUAAGACUUCGUGGAGGACCGAACCCACCAGGGUUGAAAACCUGGGGGAUGACCUGUGGUUAGGGGUGAAAGGCCAAUCAAACUCCGUGAUAGCUGGUUCUCCCCGAAAUGCAUUUAGGUGCAGCGUCGUGUGUUUCUUGCCGGAGGUAGAGCACUGGAUAGGCGAUGGGCCCUACCGGGUUACUGACCUUAGCCAAACUCCGAAUGCCGGUAAGUGAGAGCGCGGCAGUGAGACUGUGGGGGAUAAGCUCCAUGGUCGAGAGGGAAACAGCCCAGAGCAUCGACUAAGGCCCCUAAGCGUACGCUAAGUGGGAAAGGAUGUGGAGUCGCAGAGACAACCAGGAGGUUGGCUUAGAAGCAGCCAUCCUUGAAAGAGUGCGUAAUAGCUCACUGGUCAAGUGAUUCCGCGCCGACAAUGUAGCGGGGCUCAAGCGUACCGCCGAAGUCGUGUCAUUGCAGCAUAUAGGCCUAACGGUUGUUGUGAUGGGUAGGGGAGCGUCGUGUGCCGGGUGAAGCAGCCGUGUGAGCGAGUUGUGGAUGGUUCACGAGUGAGAAUGCAGGCAUGAGUAGCGAUUCACACGUGGGAAACGUGUGCGCCGAUUGACUAAGGGUUCCUGGGUCAAGCUGAUCUGCCCAGGGUAAGUCGGGACCUAAGGCGAGGCCGACAGGCGUAGUCGAUGGACAACCGGUUGAUAUUCCGGUACCCGCUUUGAAGCGCCAGCGCUGAACCAGGCGAUGCUAAGUCCGUGAAGCCGCCCUGGAUCCUUCGGGUGAAGGGGAGUGGUGGAGCCGACGGUCCAGACCUGUAGUAGGUGAGUGAUGGGGUGACGCAGGAAGGUAGUCCAGCCCGGGCGGUGGUUGUCCCGGGGUAAGGGUGUAGCCCGAGGGGUAGGUAAAUCCGUCUCUCAAACAGGGUGAGACCUGAUGCCGAGCCGAUUGUGGUGAAGUGGAUGAUCCUAUGCUGUCGAGAAAAGCCUCUAGCGAGUUUCAUGGCGGCCCGUACCCUAAACCGACUCAGGUGGUCAGGUAGAGAAUACCGAGGCGUUCGGGUGAACUAUGGUUAAGGAACUCGGCAAAAUGCCCCCGUAACUUCGGGAGAAGGGGGGCCAUUGCUGGUGAUGGGCCUUUGCGCUCGGAGCUGGUGGUGGCCGCAGAGACCAGCGAGAAGCGACUGUUUACUAAAAACACAGGUCCGUGCGAAGCCGUAAGGCGAUGUAUACGGACUGACGCCUGCCCGGUGCUGGAACGUUAAGGGGACCGGUUAGUCAUAUUUCGGUGUGGCGAAGCUGAGAACUUAAGCGCCAGUAAACGGCGGUGGUAACUAUAACCAUCCUAAGGUAGCGAAAUUCCUUGUCGGGUAAGUUCCGACCUGCACGAAUGGCGUAACGACUUCUCGACUGUCUCAACCAUAGGCCCGGUGAAAUUGCAUUACGAGUAAAGAUGCUCGUUUCGCGCAGCAGGACGGAAAGACCCCGGGACCUUUACUAUAGCUUGAUAUUGGUGUUCGGUUCGGCUUGUGUAGGAUAGGUGGGAGACUGUGAAGCCGCAACGCCAGUUGUGGUGGAGUCGUUGUUGAAAUACCACUCUGGUCGUGCUGGAUGUCUAACCUGGGUCCGUGAUCCGGAUCAGGGACAGUGUCUGGUGGGUAGUUUAACUGGGGCGGUUGCCUCCUAAAGGGUAACGGAGGCGCCCAAAGGUUCCCUCAGCCUGGUUGGCAAUCAGGUGUUGAGUGUAAGUGCACAAGGGAGCUUGACUGUGAGACUGACGGGUCGAGCAGGGACGAAAGUCGGGACUAGUGAUCCGGCGGUGGCUUGUGGAAGCGCCGUCGCUCAACGGAUAAAAGGUACCCCGGGGAUAACAGGCUGAUCUUCCCCAAGAGUCCAUAUCGACGGGAUGGUUUGGCACCUCGAUGUCGGCUCGUCGCAUCCUGGGGCUGGAGUCGGUCCCAAGGGUUGGGCUGUUCGCCCAUUAAAGCGGUACGCGAGCUGGGUUUAGAACGUCGUGAGACAGUUCGGUCCCUAUCCGCUGUGCGCGUAGGAGUCUUGAGAAGGGCUGUCCCUAGUACGAGAGGACCGGGACGGACGAACCUCUGGUGUGCCAGUUGUUCUGCCAAGGGCAUGGCUGGUUGGCUACGUUCGGGAGGGAUAACCGCUGAAAGCAUCUAAGCGGGAAGCCUGCUUCGAGAUGAGGGCUCCCACCUCCUUGAGGGGUUAAGGCUCCCAGUAGACGACUGGGUUGAUAGGCCAGAUAUGGAAGCCGGGUGACCGGUGGAGUUGACUGGUACUAAUAGGCCGAGGGCUUGUCCUC